CAGUAGCCACGGUAAUACGGAGGGUGCAAGCGUUAAUCGGAAUUACUGGGCGUAAAGCGUGCGUAGGCGGUUUGUUAAGUCUGCUGUGAAAUCCCCGGGCUCAACCUGGGAAUGGCAGUGGAUACUGGCAAGCUAGAGUGUGUCAGAGGAUGGUGGAAUUCCCGGUGUAGCGGUGAAAUGCGUAGAGAUCGGGAGGAACAUCAGUGGCGAAGGCGGCCAUCUGGGACAACACUGACGCUGAGGCACGAAAGCGUGGGGAGCAAACAGGAUUAGAUACCCCAGUAGUCCCUGUCUCUUAUAC
RNAcentral lists this ribosomal RNA (301 nucleotides) under uncultured bacterium. RNAcentral describes it as "partial 16S ribosomal RNA". It matches the Rfam family "Bacterial small subunit ribosomal RNA", at positions 509 to 807 of the family's 1533-position model. The record is from RNAcentral.